Molecule: RNA transcript, 4048 nt
Organism: Triticum aestivum (bread wheat)
Lineage: Eukaryota; Viridiplantae; Streptophyta; Magnoliopsida; Poales; Poaceae
Exons: 8
Source: RefSeq, a predicted model, not a curated record
UUCCAGUUUUGUUGGUUUUUUUGUCGAGUUUUUAUUCGUCCCCGCACGCCCCUCCACCUUCCCUACCCAGGUCGCCGCACACCACCGCCGCCGCCGCCGCCGCGAAUCCCCGGGGACGCCGCACGCCGCCGCCGCCACCGCAAAUCCCCAGGGACGCCGCACGCCGCCGCCGCUGCGAAUCCCCAGGGACGCCGCACGCCACCGCCGUCGUGAAUCACCAGAGACGCCGCUCGCCGCCGCCGCGAAUCCCCAGGGAUGUCGCUGCCACCGCCGCGGAUCCCCAAGGGCGUGGUCGCGUUGCCCUGAUUGGAGGAGACCCUGUCGGCCUUGCCUUGUUUGGAGGACUGUGUGCGUCAAUCCCGACCUCCGCUUUCCCCCUUUUCCAUCAAGGACCGCCGCCGCUGCUUCGUCUUCUAUCUCUGCGGAUCCCCAUCGGCACCUGCUGGAUGGUGCUCCGGGAACAGGGCCGCACGGAGGCCCUCCACCCGUAGGUUGUGCAGACGCGGCGCGCCUUGCAGCGGCUAUUCGGGAUGAGCGCGGGCGCGACAACCUUGUCCCAGUCGACGAUGGUGGCGGCGAAUGCCGGUGCUCCUUCUCGUCCUCUACCUCCAAGGACGCGCACCGGUAUAGCUCAGACACCCCCGUCCCCAAAUCCCGUCCACCCAUCCGGCGUUGUCCAGCUCAUCCUCACGCUCGUGGAUUCGCCUCCUCCUGUACGCGACACUUAAAACGUGGACGUGUUUGUAUUCAGUCUGUAUGCGUCUGGAUGUGAAUGGCACUUGCAGUAUGCGGCUGCUCCUUGGUUGUCCAUUUGUAUGCGUCCAUAGUCUGAAGCAGAACCUCCAUCUUCUAUCUCAACGUCGGCAGCCCGACGGCGCCGACUCCUUAUCGACGCCCGUCGGCGGCCCGGUGAUGCGACCAGAUCACUGCAAAUUGCUCCAUUCAUGUCAGCAGCCUGAUCAGGUGGAGGUGGUCGUGCUGGCGCCACUGUUUUGCUUCAUGCUGAUGCGGUAUAAAAGUGCCUCCUCGGCAGAUGAGGACCUGAGCGUGGCCAUGCUAAUGAGGAUGCAGGAUCCACCGCCACCGGCCAGUCCGAGUGCGUUGUUGUUUUCAUUCUUUGGGUCCUAGGGAUUUCGAAAUCAGGUGAUUGCAGAGAACUUGGCAGGCAGAUCAAUUACGAGGAGGUCAAGGCUGAGCUAGAAUGGGGUGGGCGCCAACAUGAAGGAGCUGGAGAUAUCUCUAUUUUUGUCAGUCAUUAUUCAGGCUCUAAGCUUCCCCUUUCCCUAUACCACAUUACUUGAUAUUAUUAAAUUCAGUAUGCUUACUCAACUGUGAACAAGUUCAUGUGGUAAGUAGGAUCAACAAGAGUUGGCUGGCAACUGCUAUGUAUAUGUUAUUAUGGAUCAGCCAAGGUGGUUAAAUUUUAUUUUUUUCCUUUUUCUUAAUUUAUGCCCUUAAGUUUAUGCUGUUAAAUGCAUACACAUAACUUAGUUCCAGAUUUAACAAGAGUACAUUUUACAAUGAACUUCAUAGCUGAUGUUGAUCAUAAUUAGUAAGUGUACAAAGCAUUUCAAGGAAUUUCUGUUUUGUGCAUAUUGUAUAUUGCAGACUUGCAGUGAAGUAGUGCCAUCUAAGUACCAGAUGUAUGUUAUUUUCAAAUAAGCUUUUCUUAAAAUGGAAAAUACUAAAAAGCAAAUUGUGCCACACCGUGCAAUUAAGGUGCCUUUUACUGGAAACUCAAUGCAACUUCUUGUUAUUUUCAAAUAAGCUUUUCUUAAAAUGGAAAAUACUAAAAGGCAGAUUGUGCCACACCGUGCAAUUAAGGUGCCUUUUACUGGAAACUCAAUGCAACUUCUUGUUAUUCCUUCUGAACCUAGCAAUUAAGCCAUAUCUUGUUUUCACUCCUUCUGAACCUAGCAAAAUGACCUGCUUGGACCGAACGAGGACAGGUGUGUGGUGGUGGACAUAAGAUGCACGGCGAACAUUGAGCUACAGAAGAACAUUAUGAAAGAGGUUGGAGAGGCUGGAGGAGACCAUAUACCAACACAAAGCGCAUCUUGAUGGCCAUCAAUGAGGAGCUGGACCUGCUACACCAGGCUAAUUGCAAGCAUUGGGAUGAUUUGGAUGAGAUGACUGAUGAGGACAUGAGCGUUGUCGGAUGAUUUGGACGAGAGGACUGUAGCACGACGCAAUGAAGAGCCAGAUCGUCCGUCCGCUCCCAGCUCACUUCCCAGUUCUGUUGUGCUGCCCCGUGCACCAACCAUCCAGUAAAGGUUCUGAGGUUAACAUCUCUUUUGCAAGUUUCGUAUAACUUUCGUUGUCACUUUAUUAUCUAUUGAUCCACAUGUUUGUAUUUUAACAGACAUGAGUACUUUAUCAUCUUUCCAGGAAGAAAUUACUAGAGAGAAGAAAACUCAGUUUUACAAGUAGUGACAGUCCAACAUCAUAUUGACACAUCUGGUUUCUCUUUCCACAAGCAGGGUCGAGUGGGGUGAUAUACUAGGCGCUUUCUUCUAAAUUGUACAGAAAGUCCACUGAGUUAUUGUUGUUUGUAUGCCACCUUAGAGCGAAAUAGUACUUCUUUUAAUCAUUUUUUAGGUGAAAUACAAGCAUGUAGCUACCUCACUUAAUUAUUGUACUCACUUGAAGUUUAUGUUGAUACAAUGCACUAUUUAAGUAGUAGAGAAACCUCACAAAUUUAAAUUGAUGAAUGAUAUUUAGGAAAAGAAGUAGGCAUGUUUCAUUAUAAAGGGAAAGUCUUUUUCAAGGCAUAGUGUUUAAUUCAUGAAUGGUUAAACAGUUUAACGGGGACCAACACUGGGUAGCAGGGGAGUGGCAGUGCAUAGAGAUAUAGUGAGGGGAGCGGGGGCGAUGAUGGAGGCGGAGAUGUUUAGAGAGAGAUAUAGAGAGUGGGAGGUUCACCAUGGUGCAAUCGAAAACCAAGGCACACCUUGCUAAGACAAGCACACUUUAAAACAUAGCAAUACUCUGCAUUGUUUGAUGUUGGUAUCAGGACCAGGUACCAUGUGAAGCUCAAGGAAUGGUUGUAGAUCAUUAUGGAUAAACUAAAAAAAAAGAUCAUUAUGGAGUACAUUAUAAACGGCAUUUGGUGUCGGCGGCAUGUCACUACCACUGACAAAGUUCUCUGAAACACGAUUACUAUCAUGUACAAUGCUUUACAGUUCUCUCAUAUUCAAAUGCUAAAAUUCUGUAAUUUCAUAUUUAGUAGUUUCUGCGGUGUGAAAUUCAUGUUUUAUUUUGCUUGUGCAGUUGAAAAUAAAUGUUGGCAAAGAUAUUAAAAUUCAAAUCUGGCUUAUUUUUCUCAAUAUGGGUUCAGAAGGAAAUUGUCGUUGAGCUUCUAUCUAAAGGCACUUUUUCAUUAGAUUUCAGCAGCGGCUGAUGGCAGCAACCUCAUGGGCCACACAUCCCCUUCUUUAAUUGCAUGCCCUCACAAAAUGGAUGGGGACUUGGUUCUUUGGUUGUCGCCGCCGGACUCAGUGAAGGACGAAAAAUUGAGAUGAUCUAGUGGAGAAUAGAUGCCACGGGCUGAAGAAAGGAGGCGACGGUUUCAGAGCACACACCUUGAAGCGGAGAGGCGGCAAGGGAGUGCGUCUGGAUGGCAAGAGGGAGCGGGACAAGGCAACAUCACAUGGGAGGCAUGGUCAAAAUCGGCGCCGUAGGAGCAAUCGUGCGCGUGGGGGUCGUACCAGGGAGAAGGAAAAGGAUGGUCGGUUUUCUAGGGCUUUUUUCCUUGCAUCGGGAAAUGGGUUUGGUUGAAAAAAACGAUGAUGUGGGGAGGUUAUGCGAGUGGUGGAUACGUGGGUACCAUUUAAUGUACCAAGUGCGCUUUAAUAGUAGAGAUUAAGAUGUUGAUAUUUUAUUCAUUUUCUUCUUAGCUGAACAUUCUUUAAACCAAAAAUCUAUGAAACUUGUAAUGUAUCAUGGUCGCAAUUUGUGAAGUAGAACUAACUAUCCUUUGACCAAAUACCCUUUGACCAUUCAUCAAUUUUUAUGUACUUGUCGCCCGUGACAACAAAUAUGGAUCAAA